CCUACGGGAGGCAGCAGUUAGGAAUUUUGGGCAAUGGGCGAAAGCCUGACCCAGCAACGCCGCGUGGAGGACGAAGCCCCUCGGGGUGUAAACUCCUUUUCUGCGGGAAGAGCAAGGACGGUACCGCAGGAAUAAGCCUCGGCUAACUACGUGCCAGCAGCCGCGGUAAGACGUAGGGGGCGAGCGUUGUCCGGAUUUACUGGGCGUAAAGGGCGUGUAGGCGGCACGGCAAGUUGGGUGUGAAAGCCCCCGGCUUAACUGGGGAGAGUCACUCAAUACUGCCGAGCUCGAGGCCGGUAGGGGGAGACGGAAUUCCCGGUGUAGUGGUGAAAUGCGUAGAUAUCGGGAGGAACACCGAUGGCGAAAGCGGUCUCCGGGGCCGGUCCUGACGCUGAGGCGCGAAAGCGCGGGGAGCGAACCGGAUUAGAUCCCCGGGUAGU
This 440-nucleotide ribosomal RNA is filed under the name uncultured bacterium. Its description in RNAcentral is "partial 16S ribosomal RNA". It matches the Rfam family "Bacterial small subunit ribosomal RNA", at positions 338 to 794 of the family's 1533-position model. The record is from RNAcentral.